GGAGAGGUGGCAGAGUGGUCGAUUGUGCAGCACUGGAAAUGCUGUGUACGGGAAACCGUACCGAGGGUUCGAAUCCCUCCCUCUCCG
This 87-nucleotide transfer RNA is filed under the name Gemmata obscuriglobus. It matches the Rfam family "tRNA". From Rfam's summary of the family: Transfer RNA (tRNA) molecules are approximately 80 nucleotides in length. Their secondary structure includes four short double-helical elements and three loops (D, anti-codon, and T loops). Further hydrogen bonds mediate the characteristic L-shaped molecular structure. tRNAs have two regions of fundamental functional importance: the anti-codon, which is responsible for specific mRNA codon recognition, and the 3' end, to which the tRNAs corresponding amino acid is attached (by aminoacyl-tRNA synthetases). tRNAs cope with the degeneracy of the genetic code in two manners: having more than one tRNA (with a specific anti-codon) for a particular amino acid; and 'wobble' base-pairing, i.e. permitting non-standard base-pairing at the 3rd anti-codon position. RNAcentral also lists the same sequence under 7 other names. The record is from Rfam by way of RNAcentral. Lineage: Bacteria; Pseudomonadati; Planctomycetota; Planctomycetia; Gemmatales; Gemmataceae.